Molecule: ribosomal RNA, 393 nt
Filed under: uncultured bacterium
Lineage: Bacteria
Description: partial 16S ribosomal RNA
Rfam family: Bacterial small subunit ribosomal RNA
Source: RNAcentral
AUACGAAGGGUGCAAGCGUUGUUCGGAUUUACUGGGCGUAAAGCGUCCGUAGGUGGUUUGUUAAGUCAGGGGUGAAAUCCCAGGGCCCAACCCUAGAACUGCCUUUGAUACUGGCAAGCUGGAGCGCGAUAGAGGAAGAUGGAAUAUCUGGUGUAGGGGUGAAAUCCGUAGAUAUCACUCAGAACACCGAUUGCGAAGGCGUCUGACGAAUCCGUCACUGACGCUGAGGCACGAAAGCGUGGGGAUAGAACAGGAUUAGAUACCCUGGUAUUCCGCGCCGUAAACGAUGAUGACUAACCGUCGGCGAUAGACAGCCGGUGGCCAAGCGAAAGCGAUAAGUCAUCCACCUGGGGAGUACGUCGGCAACGAUGAAACUCAAAGGAAUUGACGGGG